Molecule: ribosomal RNA, 250 nt
Filed under: uncultured bacterium
Lineage: Bacteria
Description: partial 16S ribosomal RNA
Rfam family: Bacterial small subunit ribosomal RNA
Source: RNAcentral
UAGGGAAUAUUGGGCAAUGGGCGAGAGCCUGACCCAGCCAUGCCGCGUGAAGGAUGAAGGCCUUCUGGGUUGUAAACUUCUUUUAUACAGGAAGAAAAAGGUCAUGCGUGACCAAUUGACGGUACUGUAUGAAUAAGCACCGGCUAACUCCGUGCCAGCAGCCGCGGUAAUACGGAGGGUGCAAGCGUUGUCCGGAUUUAUUGGGUUUAAAGGGUGCGCAGGCGGUGCGUUAAGUCAGUGGUGAAAUCCC